GGAAGGAUCAUUCACACAUCCAAUUUACAUAACGUGAACCAGUUGACAUGUAACAGUGUCAGCUAUAAACAUAUGUUGGGUUACUUAUAAGACUUACCUAAGCUUUAUUAACUAUCAGCGAUGGAUGUCUUGGCUCCCACAACGAUGAAGGCCGCAGCAAAAUGUGAUAAUCAUUGUGAAUUGCAGACUUCUUAGAAUCAAUAGAACGCUGAACGCAUACGGCACUGUACUUGUACAGUAGGCCUGUUUCAGAGUCAAUUUAUAUCUUUCCAAGCCCGUUAAACGGUGAAGAAAGGCAAAGUACUGCUCGUCUCCUUUAUUGGUGGAUUGGCAGUCGCAUUGUUCUAUAGCUACUCGUUUUCAACACAUUCGACUUUAAACUCGCGUUGUUAGGAAUGAGUGUACAGCUGUAGCUUACAACUUAUAUGACCUGAAAUCAGACCAGGCUACCCGCUGGAUUUAAGCAUAUUAUUAAGCGGAGGAAAAGAAAAUAACUAUGAUUCCCCUAGUAGAGGCGAUUGAACAGGGAAGAGCACAAAAUGUAAAUCUCAGCGGCAACGCUGCGAAUUGUAGUCUCAAGUUGCAUUACCAGCUUAGUCGUAAGGUAAAUUCUUCUGGAGUGAAGAACCACAGAGGGUGAGAGUCCCGUAUGUCUUACGAUACUAGGUGCACGGUGUGUACACAAAGAGUCGCGCUCCUUGGGAAUGGAGCGCUAAGUGGGUGGUAAAUGUCAUCCAAUGCUAAAUAUUGGUGGGAGACCGAUAGCGAACAAGUACCGUGAGGGAAAGAUGAAAAGAACUUUGAAAAGAGAGUUAAAAGUGUCUGAAAUUGCUGGUAGGGAAGCGGAUCGUAUUGUCCUUGUUAAGGGAGAUGUAACGUGAGAAAGUGGACUGCUUAUGGAAACCGCAAGGGUCUGUAGGUAGAUAAGCUCAUUGUGUUGCUAUCACUCCUUUAGCUUAGUCUACGUCAGUUGUGACUGCGUGAAAACCCGGGAGGCUUCGGCUGAACGACGGCUCACGCGGAUGCAACUGAAGAGGUGAACGCCUUGUGUAGACAAACCGGUGCGAUCUGACCCGUCUUGAAACACGGACCAAGGAGUCUAACUUUUAUGCGAGUAUGCUGGUAGAACACCAGUGUGCGUAAUGAAAGUGAAAGGAUAGAAAUUUGCAUAUCCGACCGACCAUGUAGGGGUUUACUUCUCGCGGUUUGAGUAAGAGCAUAAAGGUUAGGACCCGAAAGAUGGUGAACUAUGCCUGAAUAGGGUGAAGCCAGGGGAAACUCUGGUGGAGGCUCGUAGCGAUACUGACGUGCAAAUCGUUCGUCAAAUUUGGGUAUAGGGGCGAAAGACUAAUCGAACCAUCUAGUAGCUGGUUCCCUC
Molecule: unclassified non-coding RNA, 1378 nt
Filed under: uncultured fungus
Lineage: Eukaryota; Fungi
Description: sequence contains 18S rRNA gene, ITS1, 5.8S rRNA gene, ITS2, 28S rRNA gene
Rfam family: Eukaryotic large subunit ribosomal RNA (bases 427-1378)
Source: RNAcentral